Molecule: ribosomal RNA, 293 nt
Filed under: uncultured bacterium
Lineage: Bacteria
Description: partial 16S ribosomal RNA
Rfam family: Bacterial small subunit ribosomal RNA
Source: RNAcentral
AACGAACGCUGGCGGCAUGCCUAACACAUGCAAGUCGAACGCUCUCGGGGGCUUUGGCCUCGGGGGAGUGGCGCACGGGUGAGUAGCGCGUGGGAACCUGCCCUUUAGUGGGGGAUAACCGAGGGAAACUUCGGCUAAUACCGCAUACGCCCCGGGGCGUGGUCUUCGGAUCAGGCUGUGGGGGAAAGGAUUGAUCGCUAAAGGAGGGGCCCGCGUCGGAUUAGCUGGUUGGUGGGGUAACGGCUCACCAAGGCGAUGAUCCGUAGCUGGUCUGAGAGGAUGAUCAGCCACAC